Molecule: ribosomal RNA, 521 nt
Filed under: Salmonella enterica subsp. enterica
Lineage: Bacteria; Pseudomonadati; Pseudomonadota; Gammaproteobacteria; Enterobacterales; Enterobacteriaceae
Description: partial 23S ribosomal RNA
Rfam family: Bacterial large subunit ribosomal RNA
Source: RNAcentral
GAGGUUAAGCGACUAAGCGUACACGGUGGAUGCCCUGGCAGUCAGAGGCGAUGAAGGGCGUGCUAAUCUGCGAUAAGCGCCGGUAAGGUGAUAUGAACCGUUAUAACCGGCGAUACCCGAAUGGGGAAACCCAGUGUGACUCGUCACACUAUCAUUAACUGAAUCCAUAGGUUAAUGAGGCGAACCGGGGGAACUGAAACAUCUAAGUACCCCGAGGAAAAGAAAUCAACCGAGAUUCCCCCAGUAGCGGCGAGCGAACGGGGAGGAGCCCAGAGCCUGAAUCAGCAUGUGUGUUAGUGGAAGCGUCUGGAAAGGCGCGCGAUACAGGGUGACAGCCCCGUACACAAAAGCGCAUGUGUUGUGAGCUCGAUGAGUAGGGCGGGACACGUGGUAUCCUGUCUGAAUAUGGGGGGACCAUCCUCCAAGGCUAAAUACUCCUGACUGACCGAUAGUGAACCAGUACCGUGAGGGAAAGGCGAAAAGAACCCCGGCGAGGGGAGUGAAAAAGAACCUGAAACCGU